RNAcentral lists this ribosomal RNA (373 nucleotides) under uncultured bacterium. RNAcentral's name for it is "bacterial SSU rRNA". It matches the Rfam family "Bacterial small subunit ribosomal RNA", at positions 527 to 898 of the family's 1533-position model. The record is from RNAcentral.
GUAGGGGGCAAGCGUUGUCCGGAAUUAUUGGGCGUAAAGCGCGUGUAGGCGGCCAGGUAGGUCUGCUGUGAAAACUCGAGGCUCAACUUCGAGAUGUCGGCGGAAACCAUCUGGCUAGAGUCCGGAAGAGGAGAGUGGAAUUCCUGGUGUAGCGGUGAAAUGCGCAGAUAUCAGGAAGAACACCCGUGGCGAAGGCGGCUCUCUGGGACGGUACUGACGCUGAGACGCGAAAGCGUGGGGAGCGAACAGGAUUAGAUACCCUGGUAGUCCACGCCGUAAACGAUGGGUGCUAGGUGUGGGCGGUGUCGACUCCGUCCGUGCCGAAGCUAACGCAUUAAGCACCCCGCCUGGGGAGUACGGCCGCAAGGCUAAA